UACGUAGGGUGCGAGCGUUAAUCGGAAUUACUGGGCGUAAAGCGUGCGCAGGCGGUUUUGUAAGCCAGAUGUGAAAUCCCCGGGCUUAACCCGGGAAUGGCAUUUGGGACUGCAAGGCUUGAGUGCGGCAGAGGAGACUGGAAUUCCUGGUGUAGCAGUGAAAUGCGUAGAUAUCAGGAGGAACACCGAUGGCGAAGGCAGGUCUCUGGGCUGACACUGACGCUCAUGCACGAAAGCGUGGGGAGCAAACAGG
This 253-nucleotide ribosomal RNA is filed under the name uncultured bacterium. RNAcentral describes it as "partial 16S ribosomal RNA". It matches the Rfam family "Bacterial small subunit ribosomal RNA", at positions 524 to 776 of the family's 1533-position model. The record is from RNAcentral.